RNAcentral lists this ribosomal RNA (274 nucleotides) under uncultured Lachnospiraceae bacterium. RNAcentral's name for it is "partial 16S ribosomal RNA". It matches the Rfam family "Bacterial small subunit ribosomal RNA", at positions 64 to 339 of the family's 1533-position model. The record is from RNAcentral. Lineage: Bacteria; Bacillati; Bacillota; Clostridia; Lachnospirales; Lachnospiraceae.
UUACUUCGGUUUGAAGUCUUUUAUGACUGAGUGGCGGACGGGUGAGUAACGCGUGGGUAACCUGCCUCAUACAGGGGGAUAGCAGCUGGAAACGGCUGGUAAUACCGCAUAAGCGCACAGUACCACAUGGUACAGUGUGAAAAACUCCGGUGGUAUAAGAUGGACCCGCGUCUGAUUAGCUAGUUGGUGAGAUAACAGCCCACCAAGGCGACGAUCAGUAGCCGACCUGAGAGGGUGACCGGCCACAUUGGGACUGAGACACGGCCCAAACUCC